This 786-nucleotide ribosomal RNA is filed under the name Harpactocrates radulifer. RNAcentral describes it as "SSU rRNA". It matches the Rfam family "Eukaryotic small subunit ribosomal RNA", at positions 984 to 1789 of the family's 1831-position model. The record is from RNAcentral. Lineage: Eukaryota; Metazoa; Arthropoda; Arachnida; Araneae; Dysderidae.
CGAAAGUUAGGAGGUUCGAAGGCGAUCAGAUACCGCCCUAGUUCUAACCAUAAACGAUGCCAACUAGCGAUCCGCCUGAGUUCCUCAAAUGACUCGGCGGGCAGCUUCCGGGAAACCAAAGUGUUUGGGUUCCGGGGGAAGUAUGGUUGCAAAGCUGAAACUUAAAGGAAUUGACGGAAGGGCACCACCAGGAGUGGAGCCUGCGGCUUAAUUUGACUCAACACGGGAAAACUUACCCGGCCCGGACACUGGAAGGAUUGACAGAUUAAGAGCUCUUUCUUGAUUCAGUGGGUGGUGGUGCAUGGCCGUUCUUAGUUGGUGGAGCGAUUUGUCUGGUUAAUUCCGAUAACGAACGAGACUCUAGCCUACUAAAUAGGCGUUCCGAUCCUUUAUGUCGGACGUUCUUCUUAGAGGGACAAGCGGCUUUUAGCCGCACGAGACAGAGCAAUAACAGGUCUGUGAUGCCCUUAGAUGUCCGGGGCCGCACGCGCGCUACACUGAAGGAAUCAGCGUGUGCUUUCCCUGUCUGGUAGGACUGGGUAACCCGUUAAACCUCCUUCGUGAUAGGGAUAGGGGCUUGUAAUUGUCCCCUUGAACGAGGAAUUCCCAGUAAGCACGAGUCAUAAGCUCGUGUUGAUUACGUCCCUGCCCUUUGUACACACCGCCCGUCGCUACUACCGAUUGAAUGAUUUAGUGAGGUCUUCGGACUGGCGCUCGUAGCGACCUUUGGCCGCGCCGACGUGCCGGAAAGAUGACCAAACUUGAUCAUUUAGAGGAAGUAAAAGU